GAUGAAGAACGCAGCGAAAUGCGAUAAGUAGUGUGAAUUGCAGAAUUCAGUGAAUCAUCGAAUCUUUGAACGCACAUUGCGCCCUUUGGUAUUCCAAAGGGCAUGCCUGUUCGAGCGUCAUUUGUACCCCCAAGCUUUGCUUGGUGUUGGGCGUCUUGUCUCUAGCUUUGCUGGAGACUCGCCUUAAAGUAAUUGGCAGCCGGCCUACUGGUUUCGGAGCGCAGCACAAGUCGCACUCUCUAUCAGCAAAGGUCUAGCAUCCAUUAAGCCUUUUUUUCAACUUUUGACCUCGGAUCAGGUAGGGAUACCCGCUGAACUUAAGCAUAUCAAUAAGCGGAGGA
RNAcentral lists this unclassified non-coding RNA (341 nucleotides) under soil metagenome. RNAcentral's name for it is "partial contains 5.8S ribosomal RNA, internal transcribed spacer 2, and large subunit ribosomal RNA". The stretch from base 1 to 120 matches the Rfam family "5.8S ribosomal RNA", at positions 35 to 154 of the family's 154-position model. The record is from RNAcentral.